This 498-nucleotide ribosomal RNA is filed under the name uncultured bacterium. RNAcentral's name for it is "bacterial SSU rRNA". It matches the Rfam family "Bacterial small subunit ribosomal RNA", at positions 9 to 795 of the family's 1533-position model. The record is from RNAcentral.
GAGUUUGAUCCUGGCUCAGAUUGAACGCUGGCGGCAGGCCUAACACAUGCAAGUCGAGCGGUAACAGAGAGUAGCUUGCUACUCUGCUGACGAGCGGCGGACGGGUGAGUAAUGCUUGGGAAUGUACCUUAUGGUGGGGGACAACAGUUGGAAACGACUGCUAAUACCGCACAAUGUCUACGGACAGAAGAAGCACCGGCUAACUCCGUGCCAGCAGCCGCGGUAAUACGGAGGGUGCGAGCGUUAAUCGGAAUUACUGGGCGUAAAGCGUACGCAGGCGGUUUGUUAAGCGAGAUGUGAAAGCCCCGGGCUCAACCUGGGAACUGCAUUUCGAACUGGCAAACUAGAGUGUGAUAGAGGGUGGUAGAAUUUCAGGUGUAGCGGUGAAAUGCGUAGAGAUCUGAAGGAAUACCGAUGGCGAAGGCAGCCACCUGGGUCAACACUGACGCUCAUGUACGAAAGCGUGGGGAGCAAACAGGAUUAGAUACCCUGGUAGUC